UACGAAGGGGACUAGCGUUGUUCGGAAUUACUGGGCGUAAAGCGCACGUAGGCGGAUUUGUAAGUCAGGGGUGAAAUCCCGGGGCUCAACCUCGGAACUGCCUUUGAUACUGCAAAUCUCGAGUCCGAUAGAGGAGAGUGGAAUUCCUGGUGUAGCGGUGAAAUGCGCAGAUAUCAGGAAGAACACCCGUGGCUAAGGCGGCUCUCUAGUACGGUACUGACGCUGAGACGCGAAAGCGUGGGGAGCGAACAGG
This 253-nucleotide ribosomal RNA is filed under the name uncultured bacterium. Its description in RNAcentral is "partial 16S ribosomal RNA". It matches the Rfam family "Bacterial small subunit ribosomal RNA", at positions 524 to 776 of the family's 1533-position model. The record is from RNAcentral.